CGCCUUGCGCCUGAAAGGGCGACGGUGUCGAGCCGGAGCGAGAAGUCAGCCGAGGCCGUAGUAGUGGGUGGGAAGGCUGCAAGGCCGCCCCGGAGGCGAAGGGC
This 104-nucleotide non-coding RNA is filed under the name Bradyrhizobium sp. cir1. Lineage: Bacteria; Pseudomonadati; Pseudomonadota; Alphaproteobacteria; Hyphomicrobiales; Nitrobacteraceae. The record is from RNAcentral.